AGUACGGCGAGUGANGCGGCANCAGCUCAANUUUGAAAUCUGGCCCUCGGGUCCGAGUUGUAAUUUGUAGAGGAUGCUUUUGGCGCGGUGCCUUCCGAGUUCCCUGGAACGGGACGCCAUAGAGGGUGAGAGCCCCGUCUGGUUGGACACCAAGCCUCUGUAAAGCUCCUUCGACGAGUCGAGUAGUUUGGGAAUGCUGCUCUAAAUGGGAGGUAUAUGUCUUCUAAAGCUAAAUAUAGGCCAGAGACCGAUAGCGCACAAGUAGAGUGAUCGAAAGAUGAAAAGCACUUUGAAAAGAGAGUUAAAUAGCACGUGAAAUUGUUGAAAGGGAAGCGCUUAUGACCAGACUUGGGCUUGGUUGAUCAUCCCGCGUUCUCGCGGGUGCACUCUUCCGGCUCAGGCCAGCAUCAGUUCGUCGCGGGGGAAAAAGGCGUCGGGAAUGUGGCUCCCCCGGGAGUGUUAUAGCCCUUCGUGAAAUACCCUGCGGUGGACUGAGGACCGCGCUUCGGCAAGGAUGCUGGCGUAAUGGUCAUCAGCGACCCGUCUUGAAACACGGACCAAGGAGUCGUCUUCGUAUGCGAGUGUUCGGGUGUCAAACCCCUACGCGUAAU
Molecule: ribosomal RNA, 611 nt
Filed under: Sarcopodium flavolanatum
Lineage: Eukaryota; Fungi; Ascomycota; Sordariomycetes; Hypocreales; Nectriaceae
Description: eukaryotic LSU rRNA
Rfam family: Eukaryotic large subunit ribosomal RNA
Source: RNAcentral